Molecule: long non-coding RNA, 294 nt
Filed under: Helianthus annuus (common sunflower)
Lineage: Eukaryota; Viridiplantae; Streptophyta; Magnoliopsida; Asterales; Asteraceae
Description: hypothetical non coding rna
Source: RNAcentral
UGCUUGGUGGUUAUCCUACGACUUCUAAGCAAUCUCAAACAUGGAGCAAAUGCAUAGGAUGAUCGUGAUACACUAGGGUGGACUUGGGCCUUAGUGACGAUAAAAUGGAUCUAGACUAGUUAAAACUUGUUAUGUACUUUGUUUCUUUUUAUUUUAAGACAAUGUAACUUGUGGGUUCUCGUUUGAAACAAUGUAUUCCACCCUUGGGUGAUGAAUAAAAUAUUAUUUAAAUUACCUUGGUUGUGGAACAAUAAUUCUGUUACAACACUCCCCGACGUUUCCGCCACGAUUUGA